RNAcentral lists this ribosomal RNA (465 nucleotides) under uncultured bacterium. Its description in RNAcentral is "partial 16S ribosomal RNA". It matches the Rfam family "Bacterial small subunit ribosomal RNA", at positions 28 to 507 of the family's 1533-position model. The record is from RNAcentral.
GAUGAACGCUGGCGGCGUGCUUAACACAUGCAAGUCGAACGGAAAGGCCCCUGCUUGCAGGGGUACUCGAGUGGCGAACGGGUGAGUAACACGUGGGUGAUCUGCCCUGCACUUCGGGAUAAGCUUGGGAAACUGGGUCUAAUACCGGAUAGGAUCACAUGUUGGAUGGUGUGGUGGAAAGUUUUUCGGUGUGGGAUGAGCUGGCGGCCUAUCAGCUUGUUGGUGGGGUAAUGGCCUACCAAGGCGUCGACAGGAAGCCGGCCUGAGAGGGGGUACGGCCACGUUGCGCCUGAGAUACGGCCCAGACUCCUACGGGAGGCAGAGGUGGGGAAUAUUAUACAAUGGGCGCAAGCCUGGUGCAGCGACGCCGCGUGGGGGAAGACGGCCUUCGGGUUGUGAACUACUUUCGCUAGAGACGAAGCGCAAGUGACGGUACCUGGAGAAGAAGCACCGGCUAACUACGUG